Molecule: ribosomal RNA, 407 nt
Filed under: uncultured bacterium
Lineage: Bacteria
Description: partial 16S ribosomal RNA
Rfam family: Bacterial small subunit ribosomal RNA
Source: RNAcentral
GACGAACGCUGGCGGCGUGCCUAAUACAUGCAAGUAGGACGCAGUUGCGAACGGGUGAGUAACGCGUAGGUAAAUACCUCUUAGAGAGGGAUAACUAUUGGAAACGAUAGCUAAUACCGCAUACUAGUAGAUGGACCUGCGUUGUAUUAGCUAGUAGGUAGGGUAAUGGACUACCGAGACAACGAUACAUAGCCGACCUGGGAGGGGCAGCGUGCACGCCGGGACGAGGGCGCGGCCCAGACCCCUACGGGAGGCAGCAGUAGGGAAUCUUCAGCAAUGGGUGUAACCGUGACCUAGCAACUCCGGGUGAGUGAAGAAGGUUUUCGGAUCGUAAAGCUCUGUUGUUAAGGAAGCGGUACUUAACCAGAAAGGGACGGCUAACUACGUGCCAGCAGCCGCGGUAAUUC